Molecule: ribosomal RNA, 229 nt
Filed under: uncultured bacterium
Lineage: Bacteria
Description: partial 16S ribosomal RNA
Rfam family: Bacterial small subunit ribosomal RNA
Source: RNAcentral
UACGUAGGGUGCAAGCGUUUAAUCGGAAUACUGGGCGUAAAGCGUGCGCAGGCGGUUUUGUAAGUCUGUCGUGAAAUCCCCGGGCUCAACCUGGGAAUUGCGAUGGAGACUGCAAGGCUAGAAUCUGGCAGAGGGGGGUAGAAUUCCACGUGUAGCAGUGAAAUGCGUAGAGAUGUGGAGGAACACCGAUGGCGAAGGCAGCCCCCUGGGUCAAGAUUGACGCUCAUGC